RNAcentral lists this ribosomal RNA (772 nucleotides) under uncultured bacterium. RNAcentral describes it as "bacterial SSU rRNA". It matches the Rfam family "Bacterial small subunit ribosomal RNA", at positions 8 to 796 of the family's 1533-position model. The record is from RNAcentral.
AGAGUUUGAUCAUGGCUCAGGACGAACGCUGGCGGCGCGCCUAAAACAUGCAAGUCGAGCGAGAACCAGGGCUUCGGCUCUGGGGAGAGCGGCGAACGGGUGCGUAACACGUGAGCAACCUGCCCCGAAGACUGGGACAACACCGGGAAACCGGUGCUAAUACCAGAUGCCCUCACCGGAUCGCAUGGUGUGGUGAGGAAAUGGAUUCCGCUUCGGGAUGGGCUCGCGGUCUAUCAGCUUGUUGGUGGGGUAACGGCCUACCAAGGCGACGACGGAUAGCUGGUCUGAGAGGACGAUCAGCCACACUGGGACUGAGACACGGCCCAGACUCCUACGGGAGGCAGCAGUUAGGAAUCUUGCGCAAUGGGGGAAACCCUGACGCAGCGACGCCGCGUGCGGGAUGAAGGCCUUCGGGUUGUAAACCGCUUUCAGCAGGGACGAAAUUGACGGUACCUGCAGAAGAAGGCCCGGCCAACUACGUGCCAGCAGCCGCGGUAAUACGUAGGGGCCUAGCGUUGUCCGGAUUUAUUGGGCGUAAAGAGCUCGUAGGCGGUUCGGCAAGUCGGAUGUGAAAUCUCCACGCUCAACGUGGAGGGGCCAUUCGAAACUGCCGUGACUCGAGUCCGGUAGGGGAGUGUGGAAUUCCCGGUGUAGCGGUGUAAUGCGCAGAUAUCGGGAGGAACACCAGUAGCGAAGGCGGCACUCUGGGCCGGUACUGACGCUGAGGAGCGAAAGCGUGGGGAGCAAACAGGAUUAGAUACCCUAGUAGUCC